Non-coding RNA from Paramuricea clavata, 438 nucleotides. Lineage: Eukaryota; Metazoa; Cnidaria; Anthozoa; Malacalcyonacea; Plexauridae. The record is from the annotation of a GenBank genome assembly.
AAAUUUAUUCACGAAUUAUCAAUGAGUUUGAGAAGUAAUAUUGAAUUAAAAUCCGACUAUGAGGACUGUACUAGAUUUCAAGUCCGCGCAAUUUGAUAAGUUCAAGGCGAAGCCGAGGACAGGAGCGGACUUAAAAUCUAGUACAGUCUUGAAUUGGAGGAUUUGAAAUAACAUCUCAUCCAUUCCAAGGACUGAAUUAAUUUUGAUCCAGUCCUAUGACUGCAUCAAUAUAUACUUCACCAAGUAUCCAGUAUUAUCAUGUGAGCAAAAUAUAGCAAUAUGGUUGGCUAAUUUACUCAUGAAUUAUUAAUGAGUUUGAGAUAACUAAUUCUAAUGGUCUAGACCUUACCUAUGUCCUGAUAUAAUCCAUUUUGAGCUUAAUCAAUACAUUAAUUAAAUCUAAUCAAAAUCCUUAAAAUUGUCGAGUUCUUUCACUUC